AGUUCGCCGAGGAAGUCGUCAGUGGUGAGGUUAGUCUUUGUGGCGAUGAUUGUGCUUUUUUCAGUUUGUUUUAAUGCAUAAAAAUCGAUUAUUUGGGCCUAUUUUUAUAUUUAUUUAAUGGUUGAGGUGGGAAUUUGAAGCAGGAGAAUUCUUUGUUUUAUUUCUUAUAGUUUUAGGACAUCAACUGCAUUUAUGAUUUUGCAUGCAUGCUCUAGUUUGGGCGCGUUGAAGAAGUUAUUUGAGGUAAUGUUUUUCCUUGUAUUUGAUGGUUCUGUCAUUCUUUCCACAUUGAUGCAGAUUAAACCCCCAUCUUCGCUAGAAGGC
This 324-nucleotide unclassified non-coding RNA is filed under the name Hevea brasiliensis (rubber tree). The record is from RNAcentral. Lineage: Eukaryota; Viridiplantae; Streptophyta; Magnoliopsida; Malpighiales; Euphorbiaceae.